ACUCCUACGGGAGGCAGCAGUGGGGAAUAUUGCACAAUGGGCGCAAGCCUGAUGCAGCAACGCCGCGUGAGGGACGACGGCCUUCGGGUUGUAAACCUCUUUUAGUAGGGAAGAAGCGAAAGUGACGGUACCUGCAGAAAAAGCACCGGCUAACUACGUGCCAGCAGCCGCGGUAAUAC
This 179-nucleotide ribosomal RNA is filed under the name uncultured bacterium. Its description in RNAcentral is "partial 16S ribosomal RNA". It matches the Rfam family "Bacterial small subunit ribosomal RNA", at positions 335 to 526 of the family's 1533-position model. The record is from RNAcentral.